AAAAGGACCGGGACAACCACUGGAAACGGUGGCUAAUACCGGAUGAGCCGAAAAGUAAAAAGGGAAACCUGCCUUUUGAAGAGCUCGCGUCUGAUUAGCUAGUUGGUAGGGUAAAAGCCUACCAAGGCAUCGAUCAGUAGCUGGUCUGAGAGGAUGACCAGCCACACUGGGACUGAGACACGGCCCAGACUCCUACGGGAGGCAGCAGUGGGGAAUUUUCCGCAAUGGGCGAAAGCCUGACGGAGCAAGACCGCGUGAGGGAAGAAGGCUCUUGGGUCGUAAACCUCUUUUAUCAGGGAAGAAAAAAAUGACGGUACCUGAAGAAUCAGCCUCGGCUAACUCCGUGCCAGCAGCCGCGGUAAUACGGAGGAGGCAAGCGUUAUCCGGAAUUAUUGGGCGUAAAGCGUCCGCAGGUGGCUUAUCAAGUCUGCUGUCAAAGAGUGGGGCUUAACCCCAUUAAGGCAGUGGAAACUGAGAAGCUAGAGUGCCGUAGGGGUAGAGGGAAUUCCCGGUGUAGCGGUGAAAUGCGUAGAGAUCGGGAAGAACAUCGGUGGCGAAAGCGCUCUACUGGACGGUGACUGACACUCAGGGACGAAAGCUAGGGGAGCGAAUGGGAUUAGAUAC
This 624-nucleotide ribosomal RNA is filed under the name uncultured cyanobacterium. Its description in RNAcentral is "bacterial SSU rRNA". It matches the Rfam family "Bacterial small subunit ribosomal RNA", at positions 131 to 785 of the family's 1533-position model. The record is from RNAcentral. Lineage: Bacteria; Bacillati; Cyanobacteriota.